GUCCGAGCGUUGUCCGGAAUUACUGGGCGUUAAGAGCUCGUANGUGGUUUGUCGCGUUGUUCGUGAAAACCCGGGGCUUAACCCUCGGCGUGCGGGCGAUACGGGCAGACUUGAGUACUGCAGGGGAGACUGGAAUUCCUGGUGUAGCGGUGGAAUGCGCAGAUAUCAGGAGGAACACCGGUGGCGAAGGCGGGUCUCUGGGCAGUAACUGACGCUGAGGAGCGAAAGCGUGGGGAGCGAACAGGAUUAGAUACCCUGGUAGUCCACGCCGUAAACGGUGGGUACUAGGUGUGGGUUUCCUUCCUUGGGAUCCGUGCCGUAGCUAACGCAUUAAGUACCCCGCCUGGGGAGUACGGCCGCAAGGCUAAAACUCAAAGAAAUUGACGGGGGCCCGCACAAGCGGCGGAGCAUGUGGAUUAAUUCGAUGCAACGCGAAGAACCUUACCUGGGUUUGACAUGCACAGGACGUGCCUAGAGAUAGGUAUUCCCUUGUGGCCUGUGUGCAGGUGGUGCAUGGCUGUCGUCAGCUCGUGUCGUGAGAUGUUGGGUUAAGUCCCGCAACGAGCGCAACCCUUGUCUCAUG
RNAcentral lists this ribosomal RNA (583 nucleotides) under uncultured bacterium. Its description in RNAcentral is "bacterial SSU rRNA". It matches the Rfam family "Bacterial small subunit ribosomal RNA", at positions 532 to 1114 of the family's 1533-position model. The record is from RNAcentral.